CUACGGGCUGCUCCAGUGAGGAAUAUUGCACAAUGGAGGAAACUCUGAUGCAGCAACGCCGCGUGGAGGAUGACGCAUUUCGGUGUGUAAACUCCUUUUAUAUGUCAAGAAAAUGACGGUAGCAUAUGAAUAAGCACCGGCUAACUCCGUGCCAGCAGCCGCGGUAAUACGGAGGGUGCAAGCGUUACUCGGAAUCACUGGGCGUAAAGGACGCGUAGGCGGGAUAUCAAGUCAGGUGUGAAAUCCUACAGCUUAACUGUAGAACUGCACUUGAAACUGGUAACCUAGAGUAUGGGAGGGGGAGAUGGAAUUAGUGGUGUGGGGGUAAAAUCCGUAGAUAUCACUAGGAAUACCUAAAGCGAAGGCGAUCUCCUGGAACAUAACUGACGCUAAGGCGUGAAAGCGUGGGGAGCAAACAGGAUUAGAUACCCCUGUAGUC
Molecule: ribosomal RNA, 439 nt
Filed under: uncultured bacterium
Lineage: Bacteria
Description: partial 16S ribosomal RNA
Rfam family: Bacterial small subunit ribosomal RNA
Source: RNAcentral